Molecule: long non-coding RNA, 982 nt
Organism: Quercus lobata
Lineage: Eukaryota; Viridiplantae; Streptophyta; Magnoliopsida; Fagales; Fagaceae
Exons: 2
Source: RefSeq, a predicted model, not a curated record
CAAAAACCUCUCUGCCUUCUCCUUCCUCAAAAUAUAGCUCUCUGCCUUCUCCUUCCUCAAUCAAAACCCACAACAAUCGCAACCCACAAACCACCAUAAUCAGACCAUAUCAAACCCACAACCCAAAAGCAAAAAACCAUUUUGAAGAUCUGCGAUUGCGAAAUAUGGGGGAGUCCGAUUCUAGAUGAACGCUGCGAAAGAGAGACAGGAGAAGAGUAACAUUGAGAUGGUAAAUUCUAGAUGAACGCUGUUCUCUUCUCCUUUAAAUUAAUAAAAAUUUUACUGACUCCAAUUGUUCUCGCUAAUUUCCUUCAGCUUGGGCAUGUAUACUAAUCUGAAAUAACAACUCAUAUGGUGUUCAAUGCACAGGGGAAAAUUUCAUAACAGAUGGGGUUUGAUGGAACUAAUGUAACAGAGGGUUCUGAGAGGCUAGCAGAAGCUAUAGGUGAUGACUCUGAAGCUGUAAUAUGUGCUACUGGGUUUAAGCCUGGAUGGUCAGUAAAUUUUGUGCCUGUUUCAUAUUUGUAUUUGUACAUUGUUCAUAUUCAUGCCCUAUCUGUAGUCAUUUUUAUGCUGUUGUCUUUGUUAAUUGUCAUUCACAAUGCCUUAAGAAAAUAAGGAGAUUUAUACUUUAAGUCCUGUGACACUGUAAUGUAGUUGUCACUAAACAUUGGCUAAUGGGGUUUCAGCUGUUACUUUGAUAUAUAUAUAUAUGUGUGUGUGUGUGUGUGUGUGUGUGUGUGUGGAAUUCUCCAGCAUUGUUGUUUGCCGACGUAUUUUUGUAUCCAUCAACAUACUUUGAUGUCAUCCACAAGCAUGUUGAUGAAGGCAAUCUUAUCUCAGUGUCAAACUAAUUGCCUCAAUGCAUAGGUAACUUAGAGGUUGAUGUUUUUAUUUUGAGUAGGAGAGUAUCAUAUUUGUUCAAUCAGAGAAGGGUUGUAAAUACCCUUUUAUUUUAUUUUAUUAUUUUAAGGAUGAUCUU